This 1666-nucleotide ribosomal RNA is filed under the name Serratia fonticola. RNAcentral describes it as "partial 23S ribosomal RNA". It matches the Rfam family "Bacterial large subunit ribosomal RNA", at positions 588 to 2234 of the family's 2925-position model. The record is from RNAcentral. Lineage: Bacteria; Pseudomonadati; Pseudomonadota; Gammaproteobacteria; Enterobacterales; Yersiniaceae.
GUGGUGUGACUGCGUACCUUUUGUAUAAUGGGUCAGCGACUUAUAUUUUGUAGCAAGGUUAACCGUAUAGGGGAGCCGUAGGGAAACCGAGUCUUAACUGGGCGAAUAGUUGCAAGGUAUAGACCCGAAACCCGGUGAUCUAGCCAUGGGCAGGUUGAAGGUUGGGUAACACUAACUGGAGGACCGAACCGACUAAUGUUGAAAAAUUAGCGGAUGACUUGUGGCUGGGGGUGAAAGGCCAAUCAAACCGGGAGAUAGCUGGUUCUCCCCGAAAGCUAUUUAGGUAGCGCCUCGUGAACUCAUCUUCGGGGGUAGAGCACUGUUUCGGCUAGGGGGCCAUCCCGGCUUACCAAACCGAUGCAAACUCCGAAUACCGAAGAAUGUUAUCACGGGAGACACACGGCGGGUGCUAACGUCCGUCGUGAAGAGGGAAACAACCCAGACCGCCAGCUAAGGUCCCAAAGUCAUGGUUAAGUGGGAAACGAUGUGGGAAGGCAUAGACAGCCAGGAUGUUGGCUUAGAAGCAGCCAUCAUUUAAAGAAAGCGUAAUAGCUCACUGGUCGAGUCGGCCUGCGCGGAAGAUGUAACGGGGCUAAACCAUGCACCGAAGCUGCGGCAGCGACGCUUAGGCGUUGUUGGGUAGGGGAGCGUUCUGUAAGCCGUUGAAGGUGAACUGUGAGGUUUGCUGGAGGUAUCAGAAGUGCGAAUGCUGACAUAAGUAACGAUAAAGCGGGUGAAAAACCCGCUCGCCGGAAGACCAAGGGUUCCUGUCCAACGUUAAUCGGGGCAGGGUGAGUCGACCCCUAAGGCGAGGCCGAAAGGCGUAGUCGAUGGGAAACAGGUUAAUAUUCCUGUACUCGGUGUUACUGCGAAGGGGGGACGGAGAAGGCUAGGCUAGCCGGGCGACGGUUGUCCCGGUUUAAGCGUGUAGGGGGGUGUUCCUGGUAAAUCCGGAACGCUAUCAACCCUGAGGCGUGAUGACGAUGCACUACGGUGCAGAAGUAGUUGAUGCCCUGCUUCCAGGAAAAGCCUCUAAGCAUCAGGUAACAUCAAAUCGUACCCCAAACCGACACAGGUGGUCAGGUAGAGAAUACCAAGGCGCUUGAGAGAACUCGGGUGAAGGAACUAGGCAAAAUGGUGCCGUAACUUCGGGAGAAGGCACGCUGGCGCGUAGGUGAAGAGACUUGCUCUCGGAGCUGAAGCCAGUCGCAGAUACCAGCUGGCUGCAACUGUUUAAUAAAAACACAGCACUGUGCAAACACGAAAGUGGACGUAUACGGUGUGACGCCUGCCCGGUGCUGGAAGGUUAAUUGAUGGGGUCAGCCGCAAGGCGAAGCUCUUGAUCGAAGCCCCAGUAAACGGCGGCCGUAACUAUAACGGUCCUAAGGUAGCGAAAUUCCUUGUCGGGUAAGUUCCGACCUGCACGAAUGGCGUAAUGAUGGCCAGGCUGUCUCCACCCGAGACUCAGUGAAAUUGAACUCGCUGUGAAGAUGCAGUGUACCCGCGGCAAGACGGAAAGACCCCGUGAACCUUUACUAUAGCUUGACACUGAACAUUGAGCCUUGAUGUGUAGGAUAGGUGGGAGGCUUUGAAGUGUGGACGCCAGUCUGCAUGGAGCCAACCUUGAAAUACCACCCUUUAAUGUUUGAUGUUCUAACUCGGCCCC